UAAUACGUAGGAUGCUAGCGUUGUCCGGAUUUACUGGGCGUAAAGCGCGCGCAGGCGGCUCUUUAAGUAUGGCGUGAAAUCUCCCUGCUCAACGGGGAGGGUGCGUUGUAGACUGGAGGGCUUGAGGUCGGUAGAGGGGGGUGGAAUUGCUGGUGUAGCGGUGAAAUGCGUAGAGAUCAGCAGGAACACCCGUGGCGAAGGCGGCCCCCUGGGCCGAUCCUGACGCUGAGGCGCGAAGGCUAGGGGAGCGACCCGGAUUAGAUACCCGGUUAGUCCUAGCAGUAAACGAUGGCUACUAGGUGUGGGGGGUGUUGACCCCUCCUGUGCCGAAGCUAACGCAUUAAGUAGCCCGCCUGGGGAGUACGGUCGCAAGACUA
This 377-nucleotide ribosomal RNA is filed under the name uncultured bacterium. Its description in RNAcentral is "bacterial SSU rRNA". It matches the Rfam family "Bacterial small subunit ribosomal RNA", at positions 521 to 896 of the family's 1533-position model. The record is from RNAcentral.